Molecule: ribosomal RNA, 502 nt
Filed under: Marinobacter salarius
Lineage: Bacteria; Pseudomonadati; Pseudomonadota; Gammaproteobacteria; Pseudomonadales; Marinobacteraceae
Description: bacterial SSU rRNA
Source: RNAcentral
AAUGCAUAGGAAACUGCGCAGUAGUGGGGGAUAGCCCGGGGAAACCCGGAUUAAUAUCGCAUACGCCCUUUGGGGGAAAGAGGGGAUCUUCGGACUUGCGCUAUUGGAUGUGCUAUGUGGAUUAGUAGUUGGUGGGGUAAGAGCUACAAGGGAGAUCGUAGUGGUUGAAGGAUGAUAGUAAUGGGAUGAAUGGGUCGAAUCUAUGGAGGAGUAGUGGGGAAUAUUGGAAAUGGGGGAACCUGAUUAGCAUGCCGGUGUGUGAAGAAGGUUUCGGGUUGUAAAGAUUUAGUGAGGAGGAAAACUUAAGUUUAAUACGGUUGAGGCUUGAUGUUACUCAAGAAGAAGCACGGCUAAUGCGUGGAGAGUGGGGUAAUAGGGAGGGUGGAGCGUUAAUCGGAAUUAUGGGGUAAAGGCGCGUAGUGGUUGAUAAGCGAGAUGUGAAGCCCGGGUUAACUGGGAAGGAUUUCAAGUGUAGUAAGAUGUAAGGAGUGUGGAAUUUCUG